GUUCAGACUCCAUGUUGAGUGGACGGAGCAGAAGGAGGUAAACUGAAGGCUGAGGCAGGACUGACUUCAGAUCAGAAGAUGAGUAAUCGUGUGGAGGAAGAGGAGGACAGAGCAGAGUCUCUAGUCUCCGGCUGUCUGUCUAUGAAGAGUGACGCGUCCAAACGUGAACCUCUGACCUUCAGUAAUGAACCUGGACCCUCAGACACAAAAGUUCAGUACAGACAGAGAGCAGAGUCUCCAGUAUCCAGCUGUCUGUCUAUGAAGAGUGACGGGUCCAAAGAUCAACCUCCAUGCUUCAGUAAUGAACCUGGACCCUCAGA
This is a long non-coding RNA of Anoplopoma fimbria (sablefish), 320 nucleotides long. RefSeq lists it as uncharacterized. The transcript is spliced from 3 exons. The record is from RefSeq and is a predicted model, not a curated record. Lineage: Eukaryota; Metazoa; Chordata; Actinopteri; Perciformes; Anoplopomatidae.